Molecule: ribosomal RNA, 227 nt
Filed under: uncultured bacterium
Lineage: Bacteria
Description: partial 16S ribosomal RNA
Rfam family: Bacterial small subunit ribosomal RNA
Source: RNAcentral
GAUCAUGGCUCAGGAUGAACGCUAGCUACAGGCUUAACACAUGCAAGUCGAGGGGCAGCAUGGUCUUAGCUUGCUAAGGCCCGAUGGCGACCGGCGCACGGGUGAGUAACACGUAUCCAACCUGCCGUCUACUCUUGGACAGCCUUCUGAAAGGAAGAUUAAUACAAGAUGGCAUCAUGAGUCCCGCAUGUUCACAUGAUUAAAGGUAUUCCGGUAGACGAUGGGGG